UCUGACUAUAUUAUCGACGUGUGCCGACC
This 29-nucleotide small RNA is filed under the name Bombyx mori (domestic silkworm). RNAcentral describes it as "piRNA piR-bmo-2094484". The record is from RNAcentral. Lineage: Eukaryota; Metazoa; Arthropoda; Insecta; Lepidoptera; Bombycidae.